AUUUCAAGAUGUAUGGUCAAGUGAUGUCUCAUACAAGUUACAUGGCUUCUAUUUUGUAUUACCAAGAAGACAAGUUGUGUUGCAACUGUUUAUGAGGUGCUUACUAUUACAUGUUUUCACAAAUACAUAAGAUAAACCUAACAGCACUUGGAGUGGAAGAGCUUUAAUUCUCCAUUCAACACCUGGAAGGACUGGAAGAGUUAACAAACCCCAUCGAUCAUGACCUAGACUAUGACUGAUUCACUUAGCAGUGCUUAAGCAACAUCAAGACCACCUCUGUUUCUUACUCUGCUGUCCCCUGGCGAGAAUGCCAGAGGUGGGUGAGAGUUUGAGACCAGACACAGCCAGGACCACUGACGUCAGCU
Long non-coding RNA from Corapipo altera (White-ruffed manakin), 365 nucleotides. RefSeq lists it as uncharacterized. The record is from RefSeq and is a predicted model, not a curated record. The transcript is spliced from 4 exons. NCBI's taxonomy places the organism in Eukaryota, Metazoa, Chordata, Aves, Passeriformes, Pipridae.